GGCGAACGCUGGCGGCAGGCUUAACACAUGCAAGUCGAGCGGGCACUUCGGUGUCAGCGGCAGACGGGUGAGUAACACGUGGGAACGUGCUCUUCGGUUCGGAAUAACUCAGGGAAACUUGAGCUAAUACCGGAUACGCCCUUUUGGGGAAAGGUUUACUGCCGAAGGAUCGGCCCGCGUCUGAUUAGCUAGUUGGUGGGGUAAUGGCCUACCAAGGCGACGAUCAGUAGCUGGUCUGAGAGGAUGAUCAGCCACACUGGGACUGAGACACGGCCCAGACUCCUACGGGAGGCAGCAGUGGGGAAUAUUGGACAAUGGGCGCAAGCCUGAUCCAGCCAUGCCGCGUGAGUGAUGAAGGCCUUAGGGUUGUAAAGCUCUUUCGACGGGGACGAUAAUGACGGUACCCGUAGAAGAAGCCCCGCUAACUUCGUGCCAGCAGCCGCAGUAAG
RNAcentral lists this ribosomal RNA (449 nucleotides) under uncultured bacterium. RNAcentral describes it as "bacterial SSU rRNA". It matches the Rfam family "Bacterial small subunit ribosomal RNA", at positions 28 to 524 of the family's 1533-position model. The record is from RNAcentral.